This 684-nucleotide long non-coding RNA is filed under the name Bemisia tabaci. RNAcentral describes it as "lncRNA ENSSSA3NGG005835". Lineage: Eukaryota; Metazoa; Arthropoda; Insecta; Hemiptera; Aleyrodidae. The record is from RNAcentral.
AUGUUUUAUGACGUAUACCUGUCCUGUACGUGUAAAUCUCCGUUGAUGACGUCACACUGUAUAUCUGCUGGAACAGCCUGCCCCUCCCCUGCCUCGGUUACUUUCUAUAUUGUUAUUGUUUUCGUUCUUUCGCUCUCCCAUGAAAUCGUAACCACGUGUCUUCGGCUGUUAAUUCAGUAUAAUUAUUCGUGUUAUUUGAUUCUACUUGCUUCCAUUUCCAAAUUUGAUCCUUUCCAUGAGCCAGUAAUUUCUCUUGGUGUGCAAUGGUUAUGUUGAAGGUUGAAAAAAAUCAUGCAGACAUGACUCCUACUCCAAAAAAAAAGACAAGAAGUUGAAACUAGUGGGAAAUGACUCAACGCCGAAGGUUGCAAAAGCUGCCAAUGGCGAAGGCCUCCAAAAAAACUCCAUUUUGCCAGCUGUAAAGCCCAAGAAAAGUAAAGAGAGUGCUCCUGCCUCUCCGACCAAGUCAGCUAACGAUGGAAGCGCCUCACCAUCAAAGAAAAAGAAUAAAAAUAAAGGAAAAGAAUUUGGAAAAUACGGCAAAAGAAAUGAGAUGAAAUCCAAGGAUGAUGUUUUUGGAAAGAUGGUCAAAGAGGAGGCUGUGAAAGAACAUUUAUCGCCAAUGUUUUUGAAAAAGUUAGAAAAUGCACCGCUCGGCUGCCGCUUGGAGGAAAAAAAUUUGUU